AACAGGAUUAGAUACCCUGGUAGUCCACGCCGUAAACGAUGUCGACUUGGAGGUUGUUCCCUUGAGGAGUGGCUUCCGGAGCUAACGCGUUAAGUCGACCGCCUGGGGAGUACGGCCGCAAGGUUAAAACUCAAAUGAAUUGACGGGGGCCCGCACAAGCGGUGGAGCAUGUGGUUUAAUUCGAUGCAACGCGAAGAACCUUACCUACUCUUGACAUCCAGAGAACUUAGCAGAGAUGCUUUGGUGCCUUCGGGAGCUCUGAGACAGGUGCUGCAUGGCUGUCGUCAGCUCGUGUUGUGAAAUGUUGGGUUAAGUCCCGCAACGAGCGCAACCCUUAUCCUUUGUUGCCAGCGAUUCGGUCGGGAACUCAAAGGAGACUGCCGGUGAUAAACCGGAGGAAGGUGGGGAUGACGUCAAGUCAUCAUGGCCCUUACGAGUAGGGCUACACACGUGCUACAAUGGCGCAUACAAAGAGAAGCGACCUCGCGAGAGCAAGCGGACCUCAUAAAGUGCGUCGUAGUCCGGAUCGGAGUCUGCAACUCGACUCCGUGAAGUCGGAAUCGCUAGUAAUCGUGGAUCAGAACGUCACGGUGAAUACGUUCCCGGGCCUUGUACACACCGCCCGUCACACCAUGGGAGUGGGUUGCUCCAGAAGUAGCUAGUCUAACCUUCGGGAGGACGGUUACCACGGAGUGAUUCAUGACUGGGGUGAAGUCGUAACAAGGUAACC
This 730-nucleotide ribosomal RNA is filed under the name uncultured bacterium. RNAcentral describes it as "bacterial SSU rRNA". It matches the Rfam family "Bacterial small subunit ribosomal RNA", at positions 771 to 1501 of the family's 1533-position model. The record is from RNAcentral.